Molecule: ribosomal RNA, 784 nt
Filed under: uncultured marine microorganism
Description: bacterial SSU rRNA
Rfam family: Bacterial small subunit ribosomal RNA
Source: RNAcentral
AGAGUUUGAUCAUGGCUCAGGACGAACGCUGGCGGCGUGCCUAAUACAUGCAAGUAGAACGCUGAAGGAGGAGCUUGCUCUUCUGGAUGAGUUGCGAACGGGUGAGUAACGCGUAGGUAACCUGCCUGGUAGCGGGGGAUAACUAUUGGAAACGAUAGCUAAUACCGCAUAAUAGCAGUUGUUGCAUGACAACUGUUUGAAAGGUGCAAUUGCACCACUACCAGAUGGACCUGCGUUGUAUUAGCUAGUUGGUGGGGUAACGGCUCACCAAGGCGACGAUACAUAGCCGACCUGAGAGGGUGAUCGGCCACACUGGGACUGAGACACGGCCCAGACUCCUACGGGAGGCAGCAGUAGGGAAUCUUCGGCAAUGGACGGAAGUCUGACCGAGCAACGCCGCGUGAGUGAAGAAGGUUUUCGGAUCGUAAAGCUCUGUUGUAAGAGAAGAACGAGUGUGAGAGUGGAAAGUUCACACUGUGACGGUAUCUUACCAGAAAGGGACGGCUAACUACGUGCCAGCAGCCGCGGUAAUACGUAGGUCCCGAGCGUUGUCCGGAUUUAUUGGGCGUAAAGCGAGCGCAGGCGGUUAGAUAAGUCUGAAGUUAAAGGCUGUGGCUUAACCAUAGUACGCUUUGGAAACUGUUUAACUUGAGUGCAAGAGGGGAGAGUGGAAUUCCAUGUGUAGCGGUGAAAUGCGUAGAUAUAUGGAGGAACACCGGUGGCGAAAGCGGCUCUCUGGCUUGUAACUGACGCUGANGCUCGAAAGCGUGGGGAGCAAACAGGA